Molecule: long non-coding RNA, 890 nt
Organism: Gallus gallus (chicken)
Lineage: Eukaryota; Metazoa; Chordata; Aves; Galliformes; Phasianidae
Exons: 2
Source: RefSeq, a predicted model, not a curated record
UCCUGCUGGAUCAUCAAGAAAGGUCAGGGCUUAUGGGCUUCUAAGUACUGUGUGGGAUCCAUGAGGCUGUCAAAGCUCUGAUGUGGGACUCUUCUUCUUUCAGAUGCUUGUGGGAAGAGAUGCUGUAGGUGAGCAGGAAGUGGCAGGUCUGGGUAAUUGGUGGGCAUCUGGGACCCUGGGGUGCUGCUCCUUUUUCAGUGUGAGCUUUGUCAGUGGAUUCCCUCGUGUAGAGGAGGGAUUGCAGUACAAUAGGAGAUGGAGGCACUUUUCCCUGGGAAUAUCUCCAGUGGCCCUUGGCUGCUUUGUGGAACCUCAAUGCCUUUUCUCUCUGCUCUCUCUGUCUCUCUCCAUGGUGCUGGUAGUGCUGAGGGAUCUCCUGCCGACCACGAUUCUUACUGUAAGUUUCAGUCCCUUGCACCCUUCCUUUCUAGGCAUUGAGUACAAUGCAGAGAUGACCCCAAAUGUUGUAUUUUAAGUCAGUAUUAUCUCCACGUGCUCAUGACAAUCAGUAUCGUGCAGAAGCAAAACCCGCCUCCCUACAGCACAGGGCAUUUUCUUGGGGCUGCAAGGCAGACCUCAGGAGCCACUGUAUGAAGCUGUAAGGGUGAUGAUUUUAGCAGAGGAUGCCCACGGGUGCAUUUGUGCUGGUGGCUGGGGAAGGUGUCUCCCCUGCUGAUGGCUGGGCACUCAUUCAGGAUCUCCCUGCAGAUGCCAAUGUGGAUGAAAUGAGGAGAGUGAAGGCCUCUGGAAUACAAAGCUCUGAAGUUUGUACAUAGGACAGAAUGUCAGAAAGUGAGAGGCGAUGCACCCCUUUCUCUGCAAGAACAAGGGGGAAAGCACAGCAGAGGUGACACUUAUCAAUAAAAGCAUGAAAUCCUUCUGCAUCAGAA